UGGGGAAUUUUGGACAAUGGGCGAAAGCCUGAUCCAGCAAUGCCGCGUGUGUGAAGAAGGCCUUCGGGUUGUAAAGCACUUUUGUCCGGAAAGAAAUCCUUGGCUCUAAUACAGUCGGGGGAUGACGGUACCGGAAGAAUAAGCACCGGCUAACUACGUGCCAGCAGCCGCGGUAAUACGUAGGGUGCAAGCGUUAAUCGGAAUUACUGGGCGUAAAGCGUGCGCAGGCGGUUUGCUAAGACCGAUGUGAAAUCCCGGGCUCAACCUGGGAACUGCAUUGGUGACUGGCAGGCUAGAGUAUGGCAGAGGGGGGUAGAAUUCCACGUGUAGCAGUGAAAUGCGUAGAGAUGUGGAGGAAUACCGAUGGCGAAGGCAGCCCCCUGGGCCAAUACUGACGCUCAUGCACGAAAGCGUGGGGAGCAAACAGGAUUAGAUACCCUGGUAGUCCACGCCCUAAAACGAUGUCAACUAGUUGUUGGGGAUUCAUUUCCUAGUAACGUAGCUAACGCGUGAAGUUGACCGCCUGGGGAGUACGGUCGCAAGAUUAAAACUCAAAUGAAUUGACGGGGUCAUA
Molecule: ribosomal RNA, 574 nt
Filed under: uncultured bacterium
Lineage: Bacteria
Description: partial 16S ribosomal RNA
Rfam family: Bacterial small subunit ribosomal RNA
Source: RNAcentral